GUCCUGAGACGUAUUUUAUUUGUGAUUUGUUCUAUGUGCUUUGUGGUGUUCCUGUUUGUUUGUUUUUUCUCUUGUCUACUGCUACCAUUCUCAUGCAGGUGAUUGGGUUCACCUGUUGCUGAUUUGCUGCCCAUUCACCUCAGCUCCACUGAUUGGCUGCAGCCAGGAGAAAGCCAGCAUAUAAAGCCAGCACUGCCUCACAGCAAGCUGAGAGGGAGAGGGUUGCAGAUUGUAACCUGUCACAUGGACUGCUUUUCGCUGGCUCCAGAUAACCUUAUGUCCGUUGUUAUUAAAUGCUAACCAUUGGUGCUACUGUGGGUUUAGUUGGAGACUUGUGUGUUAUUGGGGCUGGAGACAAGAGGUCCCUGUGCUUUCUCUCUCCAAAAGUUUGUUACUGCUAGGUCCAUUACCUCUAGACUAAAAGGGCUAGCACGUAACAAGUGGGGGCUCGUCCUUUCAAGUGAAAGUUUACCGUGGUGUAAUUGUUUCAAGGCAGGCUACCAAACAAGUUAUUAAAGAUGACUUGCGAGAAAAGCUAGU
Sinocyclocheilus rhinocerous is the source of this 540-nucleotide long non-coding RNA. RefSeq lists it as uncharacterized. The record is from RefSeq and is a predicted model, not a curated record. NCBI's taxonomy places the organism in Eukaryota, Metazoa, Chordata, Actinopteri, Cypriniformes, Cyprinidae. The transcript is spliced from 3 exons.